Molecule: small nuclear RNA, 169 nt
Organism: Protopterus annectens (West African lungfish)
Lineage: Eukaryota; Metazoa; Chordata; Ceratodontiformes; Protopteridae
Product: U1 spliceosomal RNA
Exons: 1
Source: RefSeq, a predicted model, not a curated record
UUCAACACCUGGCAGGAGGAAUACCACCAUCAAGUAGGUGGUUUCCCCAGGGUGAGGCUCUUCCAUUACACAUUUUGUUUGGGUUGACCCCUGUGAUUUCCCCAAAUGUGGGAAACUUAACUGCAUGAUUCUUGGACAGUAGAAGGUACCAGAUGUAUAUGUUUUCAUA